ACAGGCUGACAUGUCAUAAGAUGUCUGUGAAAAUUCAUAGUGGAGAAACAUAAUGAUACUUUUAGAGAUAAGAUGCAGUCAUUUAUGAGAAUCAUCUUUCUUUUCCAGAGUUCAUCAACAUUGAUAAAUUUUCCUUUUGCAACAAACCAUCCAAAAAAUCUCCACCUUUCUUGGUACCCUUGGGAAUUGCCAAAUGUGUGCAUCUAAUUCAUGAUUGAAAGCCUUGAUGUGAAGGUCCCAUUAGAACCCAACUCCCAUCUCCACCUAUCUCUCUUCCUCGAGAUAGAAACAAUGUUGUUGUUGUCUUUUUUUUUUUUUUUUUUACUUCUUCUUGUAGUAUGACAAACUCCUGAAUUUCUGUUUCCAUUAGGUUCAUGGGAAAACAAGGAUUCCAUCUAAAUGCACCUCCCUCUAACUUAAAACAAUCUGCUCUCCUUAAAAAUCUCCUGUCCAAGGUUGUACUGUAUAAAUUUUAGAAGAGGUAAUGUAUACUACUCAAAGAGAUACAAAUUGGGGAUUGCAAAUCAGCCAUUCAAUUUAAGCAUGGCAAAUGUGGCUAAGGAGUUCUGUAGUGCCAUAAGGUAGAGAAAGAAGGGCUAGACUGGUAUGUUAGUUACACACCAUUUUAAAAUGGUGGUGACUCUUCCAAUGUACAUAUGGCAUAGUUGUAUUGCUAUCCGGACCGUGCAAAUCAAUGACGUAACUGUGGAUAGAUCAUAACAAAACCAUAGUGCCGACGAGAUGGAAAACCAUCUUAUUUUUCAUUUGAAUUUGGAUCACUCACUAUUUUACUUUUAACCAUUCAUUUUUUAGCCAUUGAUUGGAUGAUUAGGAUUGUUUGAUUACUGUCAUGUUUACAGAUUGGUCCAUGGGUCAAUGAGGAGGAUCCAUGCCUGCCAAACAGUGGACAUUCAAGGCCUUUUUAUGAUGGGUUGCUGACAUCAUCAUUUGCUAGUGAUGUCAGAGCCCAUGGGUCUCCAAAUAAUGAAGGAAUGGGUAUUGUAUGUUGGAACAAAAGGUUGUUGAUAUUAGGUAUCUCUAGAGCCGUUCCAUGCAUUUCCAUUUCAUCUCUACCGGGAAAGGCCAACUUUGUUGUAGUGACGGUGCAGAAAAUAUGCCAAAGAUUGGAUUGAUUUGGGAUGAAUUUCUUUUUCUGCCAGGGGAGUAUUUUGUAAAUGGGCUCAUAUGAUGGGCAACAUCCCAAGUUUUUAAUGGGAUCAUGCCGGAAUGUAGCAGUCUUGUUACAAGUUUGUUAAUAAAAAAAAAAAAAAGUUUAUGUUGAAAAAAGGAAGAAGAAGAAAAGAAGAUAAACCCAUGCCUAGCCCAUUUCAGGCUGGUCUCGUGUACCAUUGGGUUACCAUGCCCAUAUCGACCCUUACUCUUGACUAAAUUUAAGAAAUUUGCAAUUCUUUUUAAUAAAAUUUUCUUAUUCUUAAAAAGAGUAUAACGGGACAGUAUUUUCUUAGUGAAAUGUGUAAAUUAGCAGCAAUAUGAUGAA
Long non-coding RNA from Magnolia sinica, 1498 nucleotides. RefSeq lists it as uncharacterized. The record is from RefSeq and is a predicted model, not a curated record. The transcript has 3 exons. NCBI's taxonomy places the organism in Eukaryota, Viridiplantae, Streptophyta, Magnoliopsida, Magnoliales, Magnoliaceae.